AACGAACGCUGGCGGCAGGCUUAACACAUGCAAGUCGAGCGCCCCGCAAGGGGAGCGGCAGACGGGUGAGUAACGCGUGGGAAUCUACCUAGCUCUACGGAAUAACCCAGGGAAACUUGGACUAAUACCGUAUACGUCCGAGAGGAGAAAGAUUUAUCGGAGUUAGAUGAGCCCGCGUUGGAUUAGCUAGUUGGUGGGGUAAAGGCCUACCAAGGCGACGAUCCUUAGCUGGUCUGAGAGGAUGAUCAGCCACACUGGGACUGAGACACGGCCCAGACUCCUACGGGAGGCAGCAGUGGGGAAUAUUGGACAAUGGGCGCAAGCCUGAUCCAGCCAUGCCGCGUGAGUGAUGACGGCCUUAGGGUUGUAAAGCUCUUUCAACGGUAAAGAUAAUGACGGUAACCGUAGAAGAAGCCCCGGCUAACUUCGUGCCAGCCGCCGCGGUAA
This 447-nucleotide ribosomal RNA is filed under the name uncultured bacterium. RNAcentral's name for it is "partial 16S ribosomal RNA". It matches the Rfam family "Bacterial small subunit ribosomal RNA", at positions 29 to 523 of the family's 1533-position model. The record is from RNAcentral.